Molecule: RNA transcript, 3927 nt
Organism: Clarias gariepinus (North African catfish)
Lineage: Eukaryota; Metazoa; Chordata; Actinopteri; Siluriformes; Clariidae
Gene name: NACHT, LRR and PYD domains-containing protein 12-like
Exons: 9
Source: RefSeq, a predicted model, not a curated record
UACAGUAAACUUCAGAUAAAGAGAUCAGACUCAGAACAACCCAGUUGUGUCUCCAUGAAGAGUGAUGGGUCUAUGGAGCCUCCUAGGAACUUUAAACAAGGAAACUCCUCGUACAGACACAGUAAACACCAGAAAAAGAGAACAUCACAACCCAGCUGUGUCUCCAUGAAGAGUGAUUGGUCUAUGGAGCCUCCUAGGAACUUUAAACGUGGAGACUCCUUAUCUGUACACAGUAAACCGCAGGUAAAGAGAUCAGACUCAUCAGCACCCACUUGUGUCUCCAUGAAGAGUGAUGGGUCUAUGGAGCCUCCUAAUAACUUUAAAAGUGGAGACUCCCCAUCUGUACACAGAUUUUUUUCCCCCAGGAAUUUACAGAGGGCAGGAGAUAGAAAAGGAAAGAACAUCAUCACAGAUACAGGACACGACCCAGAAUCUGCUGCCUUAAAUAAAUUCCAGAAGACGUUCAGAUUAAAUCUGAUGAAGAAGUUUGAGUGUCUAAAUGACGUGAUAAUAAAUCAGGAAAACCGAACACUCCUGAAUGAGAUCUACACAGAGCUCUACAUCACAGAGGGAGACAGUGGAGACAUCAAUAAAGAACAUGAAGUGAGACAGAUGGAGGCAGCAUUCAGGAAAAGAACAUCAGAGGAAACACCAAUCAAAUGCAAUGACAUCUUUAAGUCCUUAUCUGAUCAAGACAAACCCAUCAGAACUGUUCUGACAAAGGGAGUUGCUGGCAUCGGAAAAACAGUCUCUGUGCAGAAGUUCAUUCUGGACUGGGCUGAAGGGAAAACAAAUCAGGACGUCCACCUUAUAUUUCCACUUCCUUUCAGAGAGCUAAAUCUGAUGAAGGAGCAGAAACUGAGUCUGAUGGAGCUCCUUCAUGUCUUUUUUAAAGAAACAAAAGAAAUAGAAAUGUCCAGUUUGGAAAAGGUUCUGUUAAUUUUUGAUGGAUUGGACGAGUGUCGUUUCUCUCUAGAUUUCCAAAACACAGUGAGUGUGUGUGAUGUAACUAAAUCAGCAUCAGUGCCUGUGCUGCUGAUAAACCUGAUCAAAGGGAAUCUGCUUCCCUCUGCUCUCAUCUGGAUCACCUCCCGACCAGCAGCAGCUGAUCAAAUCCCCUCUGAGUGUGUCGAUCGAUUCACAGAGGUACGAGGGUUCAAUGACCCACAGAAGGAGGUGUACUUCAGGAAGAGGAUCAGUGAUCAGAGCCUGGCCAAUGACAUCAUCACACACCUGAAGUCAUUAAGAAGCCUCUACAUCAUGUGUCACAUCCCAGUCUUCUGCUGGAUUUCAGCUGCUGUUCUAGAGAGAAUGUUGGGUGAAGCAGAGAGUGGAGAGAUCCCCAAGACUCUGACUGAAAUGUACACACACUUCCUCAUCAUUCAGAUAAACAUCAUAAGAGAAAAGUACUCAGAGAAGCAGGAGAGUGAUGAAGAAAUGCUUCUCAAACUGGGACGACUGGCUUUUGAGCAGCUGGAGAAACACAACCUGAUCUUCUAUGAAGAAGACCUGAGAGAGUGUGGCAUUGAUGUGAGAGAAGCAGCAGUGUACUCAGGUGUGUGUACGCAGAUCUUCAGAGAGGAGUUUGGGCUUCACCAGAGUAAAGUGUACUGCUUUGUUCAUCUGAGUAUUCAGGAGCAUCUCGCAGCUCUGUAUGUGCACCUGAUGUUCAUGAGGGAAAAGAGAAAUGUUCUUAAAAAGAAUCAGAUUUGUAAACCAGAGAUUGCAUAUGAUUUAGACAUGCGUUUUAAAUCAGAAAUGUUCUCUGAACCUGAGAUAAUUUCAGAAUUGGCAAAUUCGAUUAAAACAAAAAAGUCCUUUGAUUCGGGGGAGUCCUUUAAUUCGGGGGAGUCCUUUGAUUCGGGGGAGUCCUUUGAUUCGGGGGAGUCCUUUGAUUCGGGGGAGUUAUCUGAAUCUACGAUGCACAUUAGUGCAAUAACCCGUGCCUUAAACAGUGAGACUGGACAUCUGGAUCUUUUCCUCCGCUUUCUUCUGGGUCUCUCACUGGAGUCCAAUCAGAAACUCUUACAUGACUUAGUAACACAGACAGGAAGUAGCUCACAGAGCAAAGAGGAAACAGUUCAGUACAUUAAGAUGAUGAUCAGUGAAGAUCUACCUACAGAGAAAUUAAUCAAUCUGUUCCACUGUCUGAAUGAACUGGGUGAUGAUUCUCUAGUGGAGGAAAUCCAACACUACCUAAAAUCUGGAAAACAAAGUAGACUCUCUCCUUCACAUUGGUCUGCUCUGGUGUUUGUGUUACUGACAUCAGCAGAGGAUCUGGAGGAAUUUGACCUGAAUAAAUAUAUCAGUCCAGAGAAGAUAACAGAUGAGGUUCUUGUGAGGGUGAUGCCUGUGAUUGCAGAAUCCAGAAAAGCAAUUAUCAGGUGUGAUAGAAUUAAAUUGAGAAGUGCUGAAGCUCUGGUCUCAGUGCUCAACUCAGAAACCUCCAAUCUGAGAGAACUGCAUCUGACUGUGAAGACACUGGACCUGUCUGAUAAUAAACUAACAGACUCAGGAGUGAAGCGUCUCUGUGCUGUACUGGAGAAUCCUGACUGUAAAGUAGAGACACUGUGGUUGCGUGUGUGUGAUGUCUUAGAUGAAGGCUGGGCUGCUCUGACUUCAGCUCUGAGAUCAAACCCCUCACACCUGAGAGAACUGAGUCUGUUUGGGAAUAAUAAUCUAGGAGACUCAGGAGUGAAGUGUGUCUCUGCUGUACUGGAGAAUCCUGACUGUAAACUGGAGACACUGAAGUUGUAUAAUUGUGGUGUCUCAGAUGAAGGCUGUGCUGCUCUGACUUCAGCUCUGAGAUCAAACCCCUCACACCUGAGAGAACUGAAUCUGUCUAAUAAUCGAAGAGACUCAGGAUUGAAUGGUUACAGUUUUAGCGAGGAGGAUUUUCACUGUAAACUGGAGAAACUGUGGUAAGAUCAUCUCUCUGAGAGUCACAUGACCUGCUCCUCAGUAAGACACAUUCUCUAAUAGUGAGACUGAAGCAGAGGUUUGACCAGCUCAUAUGUAAAUAAAACUGAUAUAUUACACUUCUAACAAUAACUUAAAGAUUCUACAUUAUUAGAUAAUUAAUUAAAUGUCUUGGAGUCAGAUAUUUAAAUCACAAAGUUAAACACACAUUUAACCUUCAGCUGACCUUGUACCCCAUUGUGGUACUUGUUACUGUACAAAAGUCAUCUUCGCUUUUACAGUACUUAUGUACAUGUGUCUAAGUACACAGUACUGUACUGUAUUUUAUUUACUGUAAAAUUGUAUUAAGUAAUAAAUGAUUAGUCAGUAAUAUUAUUUAUUACAGACAUGAGUUUUGAUUCUCCUCAAAAGUAACACUUCAGGCCUAAAAUUAGUAUGACUUGGUUUAAAUUAAUGAUUGUGUUUGUUUUUCACCCUGAUUCAGACUACUUCCUUGAUUCUGCAGUAAUAUAAAUCUAUAGUGUUAUAUAAAUGUCUAGUGUAAUUAAACAAAGGUUAUGGAGAAACAAGUUUAUUGUCCCUGUAUAGUGCACUAUAAGUCUGUUAGAGAACCAUUUUGUAGACUCACCAUCUUAAAACUAAAAUAAUAAACCAAGAUGUAAAUGUGUUGAUGAAGUGUGUGUCAUUGUGUCUCUGCAGGUUGAAGGAGGGUUGGUUAUCAUUUAGACACUGGCCUGCUCUGACUUCAGCUCUGGGAUCAAACCCCUCACACCUGAGAGAACUGAAUCUGUCUAAUAAACUAGGAGACUCAGGAGUGAAGUGUCUCUCUGCUGUACUGGAGAAUCCUGACUGUAAACUGGAGAAACUAACGUUGCGUGGUUGUGGUGUCUCAGAUGAAGGCUGGGCUGCUCUGACUUCAGCUCUGAGAUCAAACCCCUCACACCUGAGAGAACUGAAUCUGUCUUAUAAUAAUCUAGGAGACUCAGGAGUGAAGUGUGUCUCUGCUGU